This 354-nucleotide ribosomal RNA is filed under the name uncultured Onygenales (aff. Geomyces). RNAcentral's name for it is "SSU rRNA". It matches the Rfam family "Eukaryotic small subunit ribosomal RNA", at positions 23 to 373 of the family's 1831-position model. The record is from RNAcentral. Lineage: Eukaryota; Fungi; Ascomycota; Eurotiomycetes; Onygenales.
UUUUGGUGUCAUAUGCUUGUCUCAAAGAUUAAGCCAUGCAUGUCUAAGUAUAAGCAAUCUAUACAGUGAAACUGCGAAUGGCUCAUUAAAUCAGUUAUCGUUUAUUUGAUAGUACCUUACUACUUGGAUAACCGUGGUAAUUCUAGAGCUAAUACAUGCUAAAAACCCCGACUUCGGAAGGGGUGUAUUUAUUAGAUAAAAAACCAAUGCUCUUCGGGGCUCCUUGGUGAUUCAUAAUAACUUAACGAAUCGCAUGGCCUUGUGCCGGCGAUGGUUCAUUCAAAUUUCUGCCCUAUCAACUUUCGAUGGUAGGAUAGUGGCCUACCAUGGUUUCAACGGGUAACGGGGAAAAAA